Molecule: long non-coding RNA, 1508 nt
Organism: Echinops telfairi (small Madagascar hedgehog)
Lineage: Eukaryota; Metazoa; Chordata; Mammalia; Afrosoricida; Tenrecidae
Exons: 3
Source: RefSeq, a predicted model, not a curated record
UAAGUUAUACAACUGUACAGAGUUGAAUUGGCAUUGUGUGAUAGACCUUUUUCAACGGGAGUAGCCGCUGACCCUAAUUAUGUACGACCCCAAACUUCAUAGGCUUAGUGUCUUGGUUCGAUGGCUUAGAGGCAUGACUUCAUGUGAGAUCCCAGUUAAUUGGCCUAAGUGCUUAGGUUCCACCUCUGAGUGCCUUGGGUCUGACCAAGCUUGCAAGCACCCCUACAAGGCACGAUGAUCAUUUUGAUUAGCCUGCAGCAAGAGGACCGAGGCAGGAAUAGGAGGGAGAAAAGGAGUGUGUGGUUAGUUGUCUCUUAACAAAACUGCCUGCUUUGCUACCAGACUGGAAGGACUGGAUGGGGCCUGGAGACCAUUACUGACCAUUUUCAGCACAGAUUCCAUAAACGCAUCUUGGACCACUCAGAUACGAUGAAAUCAAACCUUCACUGUAAUGAGUCUACUUCUCUAUGACUACUUCAGCAUGGCCUUGAGGCUGCUCGACUCUACGGGAAGGCAGGCAAAGAAGGGGGAACAAAGGCAGUUCGGAGAGUGAAGAAGUGACAACUGUCAGUAAGAAGCGCUCCACGCGACUCCUGGGUUCUCUGGUUCACUGAGCAACCUUGGAAGGCUGCUCCAAUUGCUCCAUUUUACAGAGGGUGAGACUGAAGCUCAGCAAACUUUGCUGAUUUCAUGCAGCCACCAGCAUGCUUAGCAGAGACUUGAACUGUGGACUCCCAGCCCCAGUCUGGAUUCCCCACAGGCCCCAAGGCAUGUGCUCCAACCACUCAGCCUCUCAAAUCUCCUGGCCAAUCAAUCAUGAAGAGACGACUUGCCUGGGAAAGCCUUUGUGCCUCCACAUAUGGCCAGCUACCUGUUCCCAUCCACGUGUCUUCCUGGGCACCGAGAGCUCUGUUGGAAAUCAGCGGGUGGUCUCUGCACAGGCAAGAGUGCGGGCUGAGAGGCAGGAUGUGAAUCUCUUCCACAAAGUGAAAACUUAUGUCCUAGCAAAUAAUUGGGGGUGGGGGGACUUGAGCUUGUUUCCUUGGCUGAUCAUCACUGGCAGCACCAACUUUGGAUUAAACACUUCUGCUCAGUGAUUUUGACAUUCUCAGUCAGGCAUAUCUUGAUGAAAUUAGAGAUGCAGAAAAUAUUUUUUGAUGGAGUGCAAGGAUGAAACAGCUAGAAGGGAAGUCAGUUCUGCGGCAAACUUGUGCAACCUGAGAUCCAGGAUGGGGGAGAGAGAAAGCUCCCGGAGCAAGGGGUGUGUGCCUGCGCGAGCAUCAACGGAGGAAGAAGAGAGAGAGAGAGAGAGAGAGAGAGACAGAAGAGGCUAGAGGAGAUGGGGGUGAUGCUAACUAAUUAGACUUUAUGAUUUUGGCAGCAAGAGGUGUGUUUAUAAACAGUCUUCACUAAAGCAUACCUUUCCAGCUAUUAAUUGUGUUAUUUGCCAGAAAACGUCUCUGCUCUAAUUAUCGGUACUUGCUUCAAUCCAAAAGUGUGUAUGUGUG